CUGCUGUCUAAAUUCCACACAUGCGCCAAAUGGAACGCAUAGAUGCACAGUGGAACGCUGGACUAUGACGCAUACCAGUAGUGACACAUCAAUGCGCGUCUUACGUAUGUCGGAACGAUAUGGUGAAAGCGAGGCUUGACACUCAGGCCCAUGGGGAAUGCAUCAUUGGAUGAACUUACCGACAUCUUGGAAUACAUGGACAUUAUUUGAGAAUGCCGCAAAUGGUGCGAAAAACUAUUUCCGCUGGAGGGAUUUAAAUACAGGACAGUAACCAAAUGAAUUUAAUGCACUUGAAAAAGACUUUACGUUGAAACACAUUG
Pelobates cultripes (western spadefoot toad) is the source of this 320-nucleotide non-coding RNA. The record is from the annotation of a GenBank genome assembly. Lineage: Eukaryota; Metazoa; Chordata; Amphibia; Anura; Pelobatidae.